Molecule: ribosomal RNA, 301 nt
Filed under: uncultured bacterium
Lineage: Bacteria
Description: partial 16S ribosomal RNA
Rfam family: Bacterial small subunit ribosomal RNA
Source: RNAcentral
CAGUAGCCGCGGUAAUACAGAGGGUGCAAGCGUUAAUCGGAAUUACUGGGCGUAAAGCGCGCGUAGGUGGUUCGCCAAGUUGGAUGUGAAAUCCCCGGGCUCAACCUGGGAACUGCAUCCAAAACUGGCGAGCUAGAGUAUGGUAGAGGGUGGUGGAAUUUCCUGUGUAGCGGUGAAAUGCGUAGAUAUAGGAAGGAACAUCAGUGGCGAAGGCGACCACCUGGACUGAUACUGACACUGAGGUGCGAAAGCGUGGGGAGCAAACAGGAUUAGAUACCCGUGUAGUCCCUGUCUCUUAUAC